RNAcentral lists this long non-coding RNA (361 nucleotides) under Chinchilla lanigera (long-tailed chinchilla). RNAcentral's name for it is "lncRNA (ENSCLAG00000024020.1)". Lineage: Eukaryota; Metazoa; Chordata; Mammalia; Rodentia; Chinchillidae. The record is from RNAcentral.
GAGGAGCUGAGCUGUGGGUUCCCGCCAUUCCGCCCGCGCGUGGUGGGCGGGGCGUGCGCUGUCCCCUGGUAGGGGUGCUGGCGCGCGGGUGAAGCGGCUCCACAGACCAGCGCGGAUCGGGCGGGAGGCCCGUGGCCCCGGAGCUGCCGCAGCCGCAGCCUCAAGAGAAUCCUGUGGUCAAGACGUUUGGCCUGGGACAAGAACCUGAGGGCAUCUGACAAGGUGGGGUCCUUCUCCCCUGAGCUGGACCCUCAGUGCAGCACAGCCUGGUGGGGGCAGGGUUCCAGUUCCACAGUCCUCCUUCAGGCCCUGUCUAUGUGAGGCCCUCCCAUCUGAUCUGCCAUCUUAGAAUACAGCACCA